GGCCAGUCCAAGUACAGUGGUAUUUUAACUAAUUGAUCACAACCAGUUAUGGAUUCCUUUGUUCUUUCUCCAGUCCCACUGCUUCACUUGACUAGCCUUUU
RNAcentral lists this Y RNA (101 nucleotides) under Microcebus murinus (gray mouse lemur). RNAcentral's name for it is "Y RNA (ENSMICG00000020985.3)". It matches the Rfam family "Y RNA". Rfam says of the family: Y RNAs are components of the Ro ribonucleoprotein particle (Ro RNP), in association with Ro60 and La proteins. Lineage: Eukaryota; Metazoa; Chordata; Mammalia; Primates; Cheirogaleidae. The record is from Rfam by way of RNAcentral.